RNAcentral lists this long non-coding RNA (309 nucleotides) under Callithrix jacchus (white-tufted-ear marmoset). RNAcentral's name for it is "lncRNA (ENSCJAG00000082901.1)". The record is from RNAcentral. Lineage: Eukaryota; Metazoa; Chordata; Mammalia; Primates; Cebidae.
AUGCAAACCUUCCUUAUUAUGCCUCUAAAAAAAAAUCACUAUUGUUCUAAGAGGAGAGCUGGGAAGAGGUUGCAGCAUCCGCUGGGCACUGAAGACGCAGCUUGUGAAGUUCCAGAAACGGAAGACAGAAGACGUUCAAACCUGUUCUCUUGUCCUGACUGGGCAGCGAGUCAAUAGAUCCUGCCAGAUACUUUUUUCUCCUUUGGGUUUUACAUACACAGAAUCAUAAAAAGCUAGAGCUGAAAAGGACGUCAGAAGUCAUUAGUCCUACCCUUUUGUUUCAAGAAUCAGAAAAAUAAGGUCCAUAAA